This is a long non-coding RNA of Myripristis murdjan (pinecone soldierfish), 124 nucleotides long. RefSeq lists it as uncharacterized. Lineage: Eukaryota; Metazoa; Chordata; Actinopteri; Holocentriformes; Holocentridae. The transcript is spliced from 3 exons. The record is from RefSeq and is a predicted model, not a curated record.
ACAAAACAAUAUUUAAGUGUUUAAAACGGUUCAAUUUACAUUUUGGGACUCUGUACCUUCUGCCGGAAGGCAAGAGCUCAUAUUCUGCGUGAAGGAUGUGUGACGGGUCCAACAAUACCCUCCG